Molecule: ribosomal RNA, 1808 nt
Filed under: Staphylococcus aureus
Lineage: Bacteria; Bacillati; Bacillota; Bacilli; Caryophanales; Staphylococcaceae
Description: partial 23S ribosomal RNA
Rfam family: Bacterial large subunit ribosomal RNA
Source: RNAcentral
GGUGAAAAGCACCCCGGAAGGGGAGUGAAAUAGAACCUGAAACCGUGUGCUUACAAGUAGUCAGAGCCCGUUAAUGGGUGAUGGCGUGCCUUUUGUAGAAUGAACCGGCGAGUUACGAUUUGAUGCAAGGUUAAGCAGUAAAUGUGGAGCCGUAGCGAAAGCGAGUCUGAAUAGGGCGUUUAGUAUUUGGUCGUAGACCCGAAACCAGGUGAUCUACCCUUGGUCAGGUUGAAGUUCAGGUAACACUGAAUGGAGGACCGAACCGACUUACGUUGAAAAGUGAGCGGAUGAACUGAGGGUAGCGGAGAAAUUCCAAUCGAACCUGGAGAUAGCUGGUUCUCUCCGAAAUAGCUUUAGGGCUAGCCUCAAGUGAUGAUUAUUGGAGGUAGAGCACUGUUUGGACGAGGGGCCCCUCUCGGGUUACCGAAUUCAGACAAACUCCGAAUGCCAAUUAAUUUAACUUGGGAGUCAGAACAUGGGUGAUAAGGUCCGUGUUCGAAAGGGAAACAGCCCAGACCACCAGCUAAGGUCCCAAAAUAUAUGUUAAGUGGAAAAGGAUGUGGCGUUGCCCAGACAACUAGGAUGUUGGCUUAGAAGCAGCCAUCAUUUAAAGAGUGCGUAAUAGCUCACUAGUCGAGUGACACUGCGCCGAAAAUGUACCGGGGCUAAACAUAUUACCGAAGCUGUGGAUUGUCCUUUGGACAAUGGUAGGAGAGCGUUCUAAGGGCGUUGAAGCAUGAUCGUAAGGACAUGUGGAGCGCUUAGAAGUGAGAAUGCCGGUGUGAGUAGCGAAAGACGGGUGAGAAUCCCGUCCACCGAUUGACUAAGGUUUCCAGAGGAAGGCUCGUCCGCUCUGGGUUAGUCGGGUCCUAAGCUGAGGCCGACAGGCGUAGGCGAUGGAUAACAGGUUGAUAUUCCUGUACCACCUAUAAUCGUUUUAAUCGAUGGGGGGACGCAGUAGGAUAGGCGAAGCGUGCGAUUGGAUUGCACGUCUAAGCAGUAAGGCUGAGUAUUAGGCAAAUCCGGUACUCAUUAAGGCUGAGCUGUGAUGGGGAGAAGACAUUGUGUCUUCGAGUCGUUGAUUUCACACUGCCGAGAAAAGCCUCUAGAUAGAAAAUAGGUGCCCGUACCGCAAACCGACACAGGUAGUCAAGAUGAGAAUUCUAAGGUGAGCGAGCGAACUCUCGUUAAGGAACUCGGCAAAAUGACCCCGUAACUUCGGGAGAAGGGGUGCUCUUUAGGGUUAACGCCCAGAAGAGCCGCAGUGAAUAGGCCCAAGCGACUGUUUAUCAAAAACACAGGUCUCUGCUAAACCGUAAGGUGAUGUAUAGGGGCUGACGCCUGCCCGGUGCUGGAAGGUUAAGAGGAGUGGUUAGCUUCUGCGAAGCUACGAAUCGAAGCCCCAGUAAACGGCGGCCGUAACUAUAACGGUCCUAAGGUAGCGAAAUUCCUUGUCGGGUAAGUUCCGACCCGCACGAAAGGCGUAACGAUUUGGGCACUGUCUCAACGAGAGACUCGGUGAAAUCAUAGUACCUGUGAAGAUGCAGGUUACCCGCGACAGGACGGAAAGACCCCGUGGAGCUUUACUGUAGCCUGAUAUUGAAAUUCGGCACAGCUUGUACAGGAUAGGUAGGAGCCUUUGAAACGUGAGCGCUAGCUUACGUGGAGGCGCUGGUGGGAUACUACCCUAGCUGUGUUGGCUUUCUAACCCGCACCACUUAUCGUGGUGGGAGACAGUGUCAGGCGGGCAGUUUGACUGGGGCGGUCGCCUCCUAAAAGGUAACGGAGGCGCUCAAAGGUUCCCUCAG